GAGGACGGGAGGGCGGGGCCACGGAGAGCAGCGAGUGGGAGGAGCUAAUCCGGCCUGUGGUGGGGGCUACGGCCCAGAAUUCUGACUGCUUCGUGGGCUGGAUGCCAAAAGUCUAAAGCUUUCCAGAAGUGUCCCUGUGCAGAAGUCCAUCUGGUAAGCUGGAAGCAGUACCCAGAGACCUGAAGCAGCCACAUGGGAAUGGAGACAGAGGAAGCCCUGGCCUAUACCUGGACUUCAGCCUCAUAAGAACCUCUGUUGGAUUUCUGGCACAAAUAAACUGUGAUAUGACAAAAUUUA
Nannospalax galili (Upper Galilee mountains blind mole rat) is the source of this 297-nucleotide long non-coding RNA. RefSeq lists it as uncharacterized. The record is from RefSeq and is a predicted model, not a curated record. Lineage: Eukaryota; Metazoa; Chordata; Mammalia; Rodentia; Spalacidae. The transcript has 2 exons.